CGAACGCUGGCGGCGUGCUUUAUACAUGCAAGUCGAACGAUGAAGUUCCUUCGGGAAUGGAUUAGUGGCGAACGGGUGAGGAACACGUGAGAAACCUGCCUUUCAUUCUGGGAUAACACCGGGAAACCGGUGCUAAUACCGGAUACUCCAUCUUGGCGGCAUCGCCGAGCUGGGAAAAAAAUUUUGAUGAAAGAUGGGCUCGCGGCCUAUCAGCUUGUUGGUGAGGUAAUGGCUCACCAAGGCGUCGACGGGUAGCCGGCCUGAGAGGGUGACCGGCCACACUGGGACUGAGACACGGCCCAGACUCCUACGGGAGGCAGCAGUGGGGAAUAUUGCACAAUGGGCGCAAGCCUGAUGCAGCAACGCCGCGUGAGGGACGACGGCCUUCGGGUUGUAAACCGUCUUCUAGCAGGGAAGAAGCGAAAGUGACGGUACCUACAGAAAAACGCGCCGGCUAACUACGUGCCAGCAGCCGCGGUAAGUCUGAUGGCG
RNAcentral lists this ribosomal RNA (492 nucleotides) under uncultured bacterium. RNAcentral describes it as "bacterial SSU rRNA". It matches the Rfam family "Bacterial small subunit ribosomal RNA", at positions 30 to 534 of the family's 1533-position model. The record is from RNAcentral.